This 1454-nucleotide long non-coding RNA is filed under the name Oryzias sinensis (Chinese medaka). Its description in RNAcentral is "lncRNA (ENSOSIG00000018857.1)". The record is from RNAcentral. Lineage: Eukaryota; Metazoa; Chordata; Actinopteri; Beloniformes; Adrianichthyidae.
AUGCGCCGGGUGGUGGUGGUGACCCAUGCCGUUGUAAGAGUUUACCAUCCCGGGGAGGGCCAUGCUCUGCACCCGAGAGUAGGGGUUAUAGGACGAGGGGGCCGUCAGGCCCUUGACGUUGACUGGACUCACGUUGCCGCUCGCCAUCUGGCAGGACGUGUAGGACAUCGGCGUGGGCGGCUGGCCCAACGACCAGGAGUUGUUCAUGAAGCUGGACUGCAGAUACUUGGGCGGGGACAGGUACCCGUAGCCGUCUCCUGCGAACAAGGCUUUUCCCGGCUGGAAGUGCGUGGGCGGCGGUCGGAAAGGCCGCUUCAUCCUGCGGCGUCUCCUGUAGUUCCCUUUCUCGAACAUGUCCUCGCAGGCCGGGUCGAGUGUCCAGUAAUUCCCCUUCCGCUCCCCGCCGCCCUCCCGCGGAACCUUGAUGAAGCACUCGUUGAGGCUCAGGUUGUGCCUGAUGCUGUUCUGCCAGCCUUUCUUGUUCUUCUCAUAGAAAGGGAACUUGCUGAUGAUGUACUGGUAGAUGCCAGACAGCGUGAGGCGCUUCUCGGAGCUCUCCCGAAUGGCCAUGGCGAUGAGGGCGACGUACGAGUAGGGGGGCUUCUGGGACGGAUCCGGCUUCUCGGAGACCUUCUCCUGCACCGGCUCCUCUUUCGGUCGCUCCUUGUCUUUGCUCGUGUUGGUGUCGUGGAUCAUCAGCGCCAUCGGGUCGUCCUCCGGGCUUUGGAGUAUUUCCGCGCCGUCUGGGCAGGUGGAGCAGCGCUGUCGUGUGUGUCAUCACCCCGCCGCUGCAGUCAUGCAGCCAGCUGCUGCAGCCACGGCCGGCUGCAUGACUGCAGCAGCAGCGGCAGCAGCAGCUGGACCGCUGCGGAGAGCCACCCAUCUCUCAACGCGCAAUUAGCUCACAGCCCGCCGUUUGGAGCCGCGCAGCGCCGUGUUCACUCCUCAUCCACGGCGUCGUUUUGCACAUGUUCUAAGACACGGAGCGUUUCUUUAGCUUCUCAACGCCGUCAUCACGCCUCUGUUUUGUAAGCAUUUGCUUUGCGUAAAACACAACAUCCUUCAGUGUGCCGCAUCUCUGGAAAAUAAGGCGCAACAGAACCAGCUGUCAAUCAGAGCAAACAUUAGCGGCUAAAAACAGCCCGCAAAUUCUACCUAUUCCAUUAAAGACAUGCUUUCAUUCUACUGGGCGCAUGUGGCAGAGGGCCUCACUGAUUAUGUGCCACACAAACUCAUAUAGUUUAAAGGAUUUUGUUUAAAUUAAAAAUAUAUAUAAAAAACUGGUUGUGGCAAAUGUGCGUCUUUGGGAUCUGCCUGAAAUAAAGUUGGUUUUAAAAGCCUUUAAUCCCCCAUACAAACUUUGGUAUCUUCCUCUUCCGUGGUUUUGCACACAACAAAAACAAACUCGGGAAGGACUCAACACAAAGUGUUCAGGGAAGACCUUGCAAAAAAAA